Molecule: long non-coding RNA, 912 nt
Filed under: Homo sapiens (human)
Lineage: Eukaryota; Metazoa; Chordata; Mammalia; Primates; Hominidae
Description: HSALNT0194369
Source: RNAcentral
AAAGCACACAAAACCUGCUCCUGUUUUCUCAAAGCUACAGAUGUCUUCUUGGGCUCUCCUUUGGAGCAACUUUCCAAUUUCCUCUGAAACAUGACCUUGGAAUUCAAGGCAUAUUAAGUCUUUCACACACAAGUUCCAUUUGGAAACAAAGAACGUGUAAGAAGAGGGAGGUGGAGGAGGAGAACAUUCCUUUUCAAGGAAGAUCGCUCCAGUCUAAUCUGAGGAAAACAUCAUCUAUAACCAUACUAAGGGAUGUCCUCCACAAUAUCUGCCCGGUACUCUUCAAAACUGUCAAAGUCACCAAAAACAAGAAAAGUCUAAGAAUCUCUAUCAAGAGGAACCUAAGGAGAUGUGACUAUUAAAUUAAUGUGACAUCCUAGAUGGAAUUCUGGAACAGAAAAAAUACAUUAGGUAAAAACUAAGGCAAUCUGAAUAACAAUCUGAAUAAACUAAGUUAAUAAUAGUUUAUGAACCGUGAUUGAUUAAUUGUAACAAAUGCACCAUAAUAAUGUAAGAUGUUAAAAAUAGGGAGAAUUGGUGUGGGGUAUAUGGGUACUCUCUGUACUAUCUUUACAAUUUUUCUGUAAAUCUAAAACUGUUCUAAAAAUGAGAUCUCUUCAAAGAAAAAAAAUGUUUUGCAGCACCUGGGCUAUUCAUCACCAAGGUGUCUGUAGCGCUAAUAAACUAAGGGUUUUUUUUGGUUUUGUUUUAACUGUUCCAUCUAGGGAACCCAGAGGCCCAACUUAUUCCUUGGUCCACUGUAUAAAUACAAAAAAUUGAAAACCCUGGGUGAAAAAAGAUGUGGGCAAGGAUGUGAGCAAGAUGUGAGCAAAAAGAUGUGAGCAGGAUGUGAACAAGAAUGAAAAGGCUGCCAAAAUUGAUUUUCAAAAGACAGAAAAUUGUGAUGCUUAA